UACGAAGGGGGCUAGCGUUGCUCGGAAUCACUGGGCGUAAAGGGUGCGUAGGCGGGUCUUUUAAGUCAGGGGGUGAAAUCCUGGAGCUCAACUCCAGAACUGCCUUUGAUACUGGCGAUCUUGAGUCCGGAAGAGGUGAGUGGAACUCCUAGUGUAGAGGUGGAAUUCGUAGAUAUUAGGAAGAACACCAGUGGCGAAGGCGGCUCACUGGUCCGGUACUGACGCUGAGGUGCGAAAAGCGUGGGGAGCAAACAGG
This 256-nucleotide ribosomal RNA is filed under the name uncultured bacterium. RNAcentral's name for it is "partial 16S ribosomal RNA". It matches the Rfam family "Bacterial small subunit ribosomal RNA", at positions 524 to 776 of the family's 1533-position model. The record is from RNAcentral.